This 856-nucleotide ribosomal RNA is filed under the name uncultured Streptococcus sp. RNAcentral describes it as "bacterial SSU rRNA". It matches the Rfam family "Bacterial small subunit ribosomal RNA", at positions 31 to 870 of the family's 1533-position model. The record is from RNAcentral. Lineage: Bacteria; Bacillati; Bacillota; Bacilli; Lactobacillales; Streptococcaceae.
GAACGCUGGCGGCGUGCCUAAUACAUGCAAGUAGAACGCUGAAGAGAGGAGCUUGCUCUUCUUGGAUGAGUUGCGAACGGGUGAGUAACGCGUAGGUAACCUGCCUUGUAGCGGGGGAUAACUAUUGGAAACGAUAGCUAAUACCGCAUAACAAUGGGUGACACAUGUCAUUUAUUUGAAAGGGGCAAUUGCUCCACUACAAGAUGGACCUGCGUUGUAUUAGCUAGUAGGUGAGGUAACGGCUCACCUAGGCGACGAUACAUAGCCGACCUGAGAGGGUGAUCGGCCACACUGGGACUGAGACACGGCCCAGACUCCUACGGGAGGCAGCAGUAGGGAAUCUUCGGCAAUGGGGGCAACCCUGACCGAGCAACGCCGCGUGAGUGAAGAAGGUUUUCGGAUCGUAAAGCUCUGUUGUAAGUCAAGAACGAGUGUGAGAGUGGAAAGUUCACACUGUGACGGUAGCUUACCAGAAAGGGACGGCUAACUACGUGCCAGCAGCCGCGGUAAUACGUAGGUCCCGAGCGUUGUCCGGAUUUAUUGGGCGUAAAGCGAGCGCAGGCGGUUUGACAAGUCUGAAGUUAAAGGCAGUGGCUCAACCAUUGUAGGCUUUGGAAACUGUUUAACUUGAGUGCAGAAGGGGAGAGUGGAUUCCAUGUGUAGCGGUGAAAUGCGUAGAUAUAUGGAGGAACACCGGUGGCGAAAGCGGCUCUCUGGUCUGUAACUGACGCUGAGGCUCGAAAGCGUGGGGAGCGAACAGGAUUAGAUACCCUGGUAGUCCACGCCGUAAACGAUGAGUGCUAGGUGUUAGGUCCUUUCCGGGACUUAGUGCCGCAGCUGACGCAUUAAGCACUCC